This 483-nucleotide ribosomal RNA is filed under the name uncultured bacterium. RNAcentral describes it as "partial 16S ribosomal RNA". It matches the Rfam family "Bacterial small subunit ribosomal RNA", at positions 29 to 523 of the family's 1533-position model. The record is from RNAcentral.
AGUGAACGCUGGCGGCGUGCUUAACACAUGCAAGUCGAACGAGAAACGGAUUUAGCUUGCUAAAUUGCAGUCUAAGUGGCGCACGGGUGAGUAAUGUAUAGGUAAUAUGCCUCUUACUAAGGGAUAACAAUUGGAAACGAUUGCUAUUACCUUAUAUGCCUUUAAUACGAAAGUAUGCAAGGGAAAGAUUUAUCGGUAAGAGAUUAGGCUGUAUGGUAUCAGCUUGUUGGUGAGGUAGUGGCUCACCAAGGCUAUGAAGCCUAACUGGUUUGAGAGGAUGAUCAGUCACACUGGAACUGAGACACGGUCCAGACUCCUACGGGAGGCAGCAGUGGGGAAUAUUGCACAAUGGACGAAAGUCUGAUGCAGCAACGCCGCGUGGAGGAUGACACAUUUCGGUGCGUAAACUCCUUUUAUAUAGGAAGAUAAUGACGGUACUAUAUGAAUAAGCACCGGCUAACUCCGUGCCAGCAGCCGCCGUAA